Molecule: ribosomal RNA, 242 nt
Filed under: uncultured Bacteroidales bacterium
Lineage: Bacteria; Pseudomonadati; Bacteroidota; Bacteroidia; Bacteroidales
Description: partial 16S ribosomal RNA
Rfam family: Bacterial small subunit ribosomal RNA
Source: RNAcentral
CACACUGUAAACGAUGAUAACUCGCUGCCGGCGAUACAUUGUUGGUGGCCAAGCGAAAGCAUUAAGUUAUCCACCUGGGGAGUACGACCGCAAGGUUGAAACUCAAAGGAAUUGACGGGGGCCCGCACAAGCGGAGGAACAUGUGGUUUAAUUCGAUGAUACGCGAGGAACCUUACCCGGGCUUGAAAUGCAUCUGACCGGCAAAGAGAUUUGCUUUUUCCUCGGAACGGAUGCGUAGGUGC